GAGGGUUUUUUAUAGAACCCUUCAAAAAAUGAGUCAGAGUCUGUGAAGACAGACUGUGAGUUUGGUGCAGAUUUCAAGGUGCAGAACAAAACCAUAUGCUUCUCUUUAGCAGGCAUGAAGAGGAUGCUCUAGCCUGGUCUCCUGGGAAAAUUUUUUUUUUGUAUUCCUUUGUGUCAGGCACACCAGCAGGAGGAACAAAAAGAAAAGGCGAUUCAGGUACAGAAUUAUGAAUUCAGUUGUGAGGGGCCCUUUAGGUAGUCCACAUCCAAAUCUUCAUUUGUGUGAGUGCACAACAUCCACCAGCCACUUUUGGUGCAAUGUUAAUAUAUUCCUGUAGCUGGACUACACCAGGCAUGACUACAGCAUUUUGUGUGUAGCAGGCAGGCAUGGAAGAUGCUGAAGAGAGCUGCUGGAGAUAAAAUCACUUCCAAAAAAGUCCACCUCUGUGCUCAUACUCAUGUGAACACUUGUUCAGCAUUACAGCUGUCCUUCCAAAACUUUCCAGAGGAAAGGGGCCACAUAAUCUUAUUUUAGAGGGGUGCAAAUUUCUGAAUUGGUAGCCAGACAAGAAGUAGCACUGCCUUCUGCCUCCCAAAACACACAUCAUGAGACAUUUCAAUUCUAACAAGAUUUGAAACCAAAUCUGCCAGAAAAAAAUUAAUUAAAAAAGUUUUUAUUAUUCUGAAAGAUAUUUUAGUGUUUGAUCUUAUUUUCUUUGGACUUACUUUGAGGAUUUUUACUAAAAGAAAUUUGGAAAAGCCAGUUUGCUUUGAAGUAAACAUAGAAACUCAAUGUGCAAAAAAACCCCACUGAAGUCCUUUGGUAUUGUGUAAAUUGCAAACAAUGAUAAGGCAAAAAAUUACAGACUCUCAAAUUUUUUCAGUCAACACAAUGUGCAUUUUUUCCAUCAAAAACCAUGUUCCCCUGCUGUCUUCCUGCAGUGAAGAAGCUGUAUCACUAGCCUUUCCUGACCUCUCCAUAAAAACUGCUUGAUUAAUGGAAAGGGAAGAUGAGGCAAAAGUCUUCCCUACAGAUAACAGUCGUCUUCUGACAGUGACAGCAUCCCUUCUUUUCUUUAGGCACAGAGACCUUUUACACUUUGGGGGAAAAGGAAAUAGAUUCAUUUCAAAGAACUGCAUUUAGGCUCAUUUAGAGUUUAACAGCCAGUGCUGUAUUAAUGGCUGUCAUUUUCUUCCUGUGCUCAUACCUGCUGACACGGGCUUACAGCAUUCUCACGUUCAUCAAAGUUGUUCAUCUAUACCAGCCUGCUCCAAAAUACACCCCAGAGUCUAGAGUGAAACUAAGCGAUUCUUUAACUGCUGCUUGUCCCCGUGCAGUCAGGGAUCUGUCAUAAAUGCAGUCUUACAAAUCUGAAAUUUAAAAAGUUAUGUAGUAAAGGACACUUUUGCUAGAAACAGGCUUGCUUCCAGCUGAGAACAGGCUCAUGGGAGCUUGAAGAAUUCUGUGCAUGUCAGAAGGUUCUAUCAUUUCUUAAUUAUGUGAGGUCCAAACUUAGCUGCUACACUGAUGAGUACAGUUUUCCUAAAUUACCAGCACUAUCCCCUGCUUAGCCAUGUCUUACCAGCAAGUAACUUCUUAAGCAUUUUAAAAUGAGAGGCCUAGAAAAUUGUGAGAGUGUUGACAGAAAUAAUGAGAAUGAACAGUCAGGAGAGCAGAGUAUCCUGGAUUAACAUUCAAGACAGCAACUGCAAAUUUGAAAAAGGUAGCAAAGAUAUUUCUAGAUUUCUUGCUCAGUCUGAAGUACCAAGAGUACUGAAAGAUAGAAGCUUGUGCUGAGUAAAUGUAUGACAGAGUCUCAAGCCUGUGAACGAAGAAAAUAUUCAUCACACCUCUGAAAUCUUGUUUGAUAGUUUUGAAUUGUUUUUUCAACUCUGCCCAAAGUAUUUUUUAAGCAGACUUAUUUUCCUUUUCAAGUGAAGAUCACGGCAAAGAAUGAAUGAAGAGAAAUGUAGUUUGUGUGAAAGACAGAUAGAAAAGAUUUCCAGUGAGGAAUGUCAGAGGAAAAUGCAGAAAAUAACACUCUUCUUCACUGCAAAUGAUUCAAUGUAAAGCAUUUGAAACUCUCCAGCUGCACACUGCAGGAGGAUGGAAGAGUCCUUGGAGAAAGUAUUACUACUUAUCCUCUUCUGUAGAGAACUGCUUUUGAUUUGAGGGAUUUCUUUGGAUACAUCGAGACUGAAGGCACUCCCCAGCACGGGAGGGAGGCAUCACUCAGCAAGCAGGGCUGUUUUGGGGAUGCCAAACCCAGCUCCAGGAACCACACACGUCAUGAGGCUCCUGGCAGUGAGCAAGAAAUGAGACAAACGGUGCAAACCUUCAGUAUACUCACUGCCCAACUGAUAGCACAGAGGCCCUUUGGAGUUUCCACAGCGGGAUGUUUCACUGCUGAGGUAAGGUAAUACACAGAAAUCCUACAGCCAAAAAAGGUCAGCUAAGCAAACUUUUUUUUUUUGGACAACAAGAGAAAGAAGGAAGCAAUCUGCGUGAAAAACAAAGCUUUCCAAAGCUGAAUUUCACAAAAAUUCUUCUAAAAUCUUGCACUCAGACAAAAGAAAAAAAGACCCUAAACAAACACCUUUACACAAAACACACCAGGAGAGAACGUUCCUGCUAAGUUACAAGACAGCCAGUAACAUUUAACUGGAUUUGCUGAGAGAAGAGGAAGAAUGUAGGGCUGGGUUAUACCCACCCUCAUUCACAAUAAACUGAUCUCAACCACUAAUUAAAAUGAGAAGCUUUUGUGGCAUUUAGGGCACAAUCAGCUGCCUCAAAACUACACACUGUUCCUCACAUAUUGAGGAAUAUUUUUGGUGCUUGACAAGACGUUUUUUUCAGGAAAGACUUUAAUCUAAAUACUAGGUGUUUGGGUGUUUUUGUUGUUGUUGUUUUAUUAUUUUUUUUUUUUAGUAUUUAUACUCAAAGUGACACCUGACCUUCCAAAGUAAACUUAACUGCAGGUUUUCUGCUAUUUUUCCCCCUUCCUACCAAACACUUCACAAGAGAAAUUUCUUUGUGCACUCAAAAAAUAUAACAAUCAGUAAUAACAAUGUUCUUAGCAUCAGUUGAUUUGGACUAAUUUUGGGAAAAAAAAGAAAAAACCUCUUUGUUUUGCCUCAUGGAUUGUUCAGGAACUGCACUCCACGGUUCUUUCUGCUGGCUGCUGCAGAAAUCACACAAAUUGAAUUGAACCUGCCCUUUGUUUACUUGCGUGGCAGGAUUCCCUGCAUCUCUGCUGUAUUUCACACAGUAGGAAGUCAGCGUGGACUUUCCAAGGUCAAUCUUGCUGCUGAAGACCAAUGAGUCUCCUGCUGGGUAGAUGUCACAAGUUGAGUUUGUAGCAAUGCAAACUUGUCAACUGCUGAGGAGGCUCCGGCAGUUUAAAGGCGUUUGGCCGGUGAAGACCCUCACUGCCUCAAAUUCAUUUACUUCUCUGCAGGAGGUAACGAGGGAAAAAAGCAUGAGACAGAUGCAAGUGAAAGAAUCUGUGAAAUUGUCAGUUCUCUUAUCAAAAAGGCAACAGGAGCGUAAAGUGUCCCCUGGAAGUAAAUAUCGGUGGGCUUAACCUGCAGUCUUGGAUCUCAGCUCAACAAACUACUAGGGAAAUUAGGAUCUGACCUGAACUAAUCUCCUAAGCAGAUGAAAAAGCUGUAUGAGGCACCUGGGGCUUGUGUUUCCACUCUGUAGUGUCUGUUGCUGGUGAAUUCAAUAGUAGGAGAAAAACAAUUAAAGUUUAUUAGACCUGAGUUUCAAAAUAGAUGAAAAAAUAACUUCAGCACUGAUACAUUGAGAAAAGAGUUUGGGAAUAAGGGUCCAUGGAAACAGUCCCCUGGGAAGGGCUGUCACUGGGUGAUGUGCAUGAACAUGGGGCACAGUGUAAGCAGCUUGAAAGUGGUAGAGCCGCGUAAGAAUGUCACUGUGCUGGAAUCAAGAAGCCCUAGUUUGUGACUUUUUGGUGGCAAUUACUUUCACUCAAUCAGUCUCUUAAUUAAUGCAGUUAUUCUGGUCAUGGGACAAAUUUAGAUGUCUCUCUAUUGACCUCCACUGCACAGCAGAGAAAUGGAAAGGUGAUCAGCCAUGCUCAUUAUUGAAUUUAUAUAUAUCAAAAGAGCUUUAUGAAGGUGAUCAGUAUUUUACAGAUGUGCAAACUGAUGUAGGACUUAAUAAGGAGCUUAUCCAAGUUUUCCAGUGGAGCAGCAUCAAAGUCAAGGCUGGAAUUGAGGUCCCUGUGUUCUGAUGCAGCUUUAUAAGAACAACUCUGUUCUAUAAAAAACGAGAGAGCACAAGCACAACAGGUUCUUCCCAGAUCACAUUCUGCUGUAGGAUGCCAGAAAGUCCCCUGGGUUCUGUUUUAAGGCUAUCACAGUAUGUUUCAAUUCAGCAUGGUAAUAACAAGUGGAUUUUUUCCUGUUAUUGUUAUUUUUUGCUUCACUGCACUUACAUUUUCUGCAUGUGUCCAUUUUAGGUUGUUUUAGCAAAAUAUUUUAUCAUGUAUUUAAUUUUAAGCAUAUGCUCUGAAUGCCCAGGAACCUCAAAAGCAUUUAAACUGCAUGUUCAAAGUUAAGCAGAUACUUAACUGAACAGCGACAGACAACAUGUGCACUAAAUAUUCAGUAAGUGUGUGACUGUUUUGCAGAGUAAGAUGUACAUAAAUGAGAACAAAUCUUUACAUUUUAGUUCAGUAAGUAUGCUUCCAGUGACUGCAGAGGGUUAUACCAGGAGCUGGCUUUAAUCUUAAGUGUUUCUUAGACAUGUGCAGUCUCAGGCACGAAGCAGGAGGUUCACCCCCUCACUGCCUGGAUAUGGAUCAUCUGCACUGGUUCAUGCAACUCUGCAUCAGCCCUGGCUCUCUGGGGCUCGAGAUUUGACAUGUGGUCCACUGAGUAUGGCACAUGUGAUCCUGAAGUGGGGAAGGUCAUGAUGUUGCCCUGACCACUAAUGCCACGGGGACACAUCAUAAUCUUUUAAACCUCUUAAACUUUUAAAGAAAGCUAGGUAAACUCUAGGUUUACUACUCUCAUGUGACAUUAGUGUAGAAGAAUUCACAUUUUUGGAAAGACACUGGAUGUAUAUUUAGCUACCAAAGCUGCCUCUGUGGGAAAGGGAAGAGCUGAGCAACCCCAACCGGGCAUUGCAUCCCAAAUUCCAAAUGGAGAAGGGACUAAUUGCCUCCAGUUAUUAUGGUUUUGGCUCAGGAUUGUGUGGCCACCUGAAGCCUAGACGGGUGAAUUUUGCUCUCCAGGUAAACACAGGCUCUGGAGAACCCUUUUUCUAAAGGUCUCAUUUGAGGCUAUAGUCAAUAACUGGGUGAAAUAUGUGUCUACUUAAUGACGGUGAAAAUUGAAGGUGUCCAGUAAAGCAGUUGUAAUUGUGUUUAAUGCUGAGACAAUGAACCUAGUUAAGAUUCAAUUUGGUCUUCCCCUUUGUUCCCCACUUCCAGUAAUAAAUGGUUAAUUACCAGUUUCAAAGGCUCAGUGUAAUUUGUCAGCUUGCAGAAAUCACAGUGAUCACCAUACUGUCAGGAAGAAGUGUGACCCCUUUAUUUUUCCAGAUGAAAAUAUUUAUUCUUUUACAGAAAAUGCUAAGCAAUCUCCUGGCUUGAACUAUCAAGCCAUAGCCUUUCCCCUCAUGUUUGGCAGGAGUGGGAACUGACAGGAUGUGCCCAUCUGCUGAGUGCCAUGAACACAGGCCUCCCACAUUGCAGCCACAACCUCUGUGUUGAUGUCUGUGUGACCUCUUCUACUCUGCCACCACAAGGUACCUGGCAGGGCAAAGGCCAGCACUGACUUGUCCC
Long non-coding RNA from Pseudopipra pipra, 5812 nucleotides. RefSeq lists it as uncharacterized. The transcript has 3 exons. NCBI's taxonomy places the organism in Eukaryota, Metazoa, Chordata, Aves, Passeriformes, Pipridae. The record is from RefSeq and is a predicted model, not a curated record.